Molecule: ribosomal RNA, 255 nt
Filed under: uncultured bacterium
Lineage: Bacteria
Description: partial 16S ribosomal RNA
Rfam family: Bacterial small subunit ribosomal RNA
Source: RNAcentral
UACGUAGGGGGCAAGCGUUGUCCGGAUUUAUUGGGCGUAAAGAGCGUGUAGGCGGCCUGAAAGGUCAGCUGUGAAAACUCGAGGCUCAACCUCGAGACGUCGGUUGAAACCAUCUGGCUAGAGUCCGGAAGAGGAGAGUGGAAUUCCCGGUGUAGCGGUGAAAAUGCGCAGAUAUCGGGAAGAACACCCGUGGCGAAGGCGGCUCUCUGGGACGGUACUGACGCUGAGACGCGAAAGCGUGGGGGAGCGAACAGG